GGGAGAGAGCAGAGGGAUUGCCCUAGUAACGGCGAGUGAAGCGGCAACAGCUCAAAUUUGAAAUCUGGCUUUCGGGCCCGAGUUGUAAUUUGUAGAGGAUGAUUUUGAUGCGGUGCCUUCCGAGUUCCCUGGAACGGGACGCCAUAGAGGGUGAGAGCCCCGUCUGGUUGGAUGCCAAAUCUCUGUAAAUCUCCUUCGACGAGUCGAGUAGUUUGGGAAUGCUGCUCUAAAUGGGAGGUAUAUGUCUUCUAAAGCUAAAUACCGGCCAGAGACCGAUAGCGCACAAGUAGAGUGAUCGAAAGAUGAAAAGCACUUUGAAAAGAGAGUUAAAAAGUACGUGAAAUUGUUGAAAGGGAAGCGUUUAUGACCAGACUUGGGCUUGGUUAAUCAUCUGGGGUUCUCUCCAGUGCACUUUUCCAGCCCAGGCCAGCAUCAGUUUUCGCCGGGGGAUAAAGACUUCGGGAAUGUGGCUCCCCUCGGGGAGUGUUAUAGCCCGUUGUGUAAUACCCUGGCGGGGACUGAGGUUCGCGCUUCUGCAAGGAUGCUGGCGUAAUGGUCAUCAACGACCCGUCUUGAAACACGGACCAAGGAGUCGUCUUCGUAUGCGAGUGUUCGGGUGUCAAACCCCUACGCGUAAUGAAAGUGAACGCAGGUGAGAGCUUCGGCGCAUCAUCGACCGAUCCUGAUGUUCUCGGAUGGAUUUGAGUAAGAGCAUACGGGGCCGGACCCGAAAGAAGGUGAACUAUGCCUGUGUAGGGUGAAGCCAGAGGAAACUCUGGUGGAGGCUCGCAGCGGUUCUGACGUGCAAAUCGAUCGUCAAACAUGGGCAUGGGGGCGAAAGACUAAUCGACAUCAGGGC
RNAcentral lists this ribosomal RNA (859 nucleotides) under Fusarium pseudograminearum. RNAcentral's name for it is "partial 28S ribosomal RNA". It matches the Rfam family "Eukaryotic large subunit ribosomal RNA", at positions 55 to 951 of the family's 3401-position model. Lineage: Eukaryota; Fungi; Ascomycota; Sordariomycetes; Hypocreales; Nectriaceae. The record is from RNAcentral.